This 503-nucleotide ribosomal RNA is filed under the name uncultured bacterium. Its description in RNAcentral is "partial 16S ribosomal RNA". It matches the Rfam family "Bacterial small subunit ribosomal RNA", at positions 30 to 523 of the family's 1533-position model. The record is from RNAcentral.
AUUGAACGCUGGCGGCAGGCUUAACACAUGCAAGUCGAGCGGGGGGAGGUAGCUUGCUACCGGACCUAGCGGCGGACGGGUGAGUAAUGCUUAGGAAUCUGCCUAUUAGGGGGGGACAACAUCUCGAAAGGGAUGCUAAUACCGCAGACGUCCUACGGGAGAAAGCAGGGGGUCACUUGUGACCUUGCGAUAAUAGAUGAGCCUCAGUCGGAUUAGCUAGUUGGUGGGGUAAAGGCCUACCAAGGCGACGAUCCGUAGCGGGUCUGAGAGGAUGAGCCGCCAAACUGGGACUGGGACACGGCCCAGACUCCUACGGGAGGCAGCAGUGGGGAAUAUUGGACAAUGGGGGGAACCCUGAUCCAGCCAUGCCGCGUGUGUGAAGAAGGCCUUAUGGUUGUAAAGCACUUUAAGCGAGGAGGAGGCUCUUUUGGUUAAUACCCAAGAUGAGUGGACGUUACUCGCAGAAUAAGCACCGGCUAACUCUGUGCCAGCCGCCGCCGUAA